This 334-nucleotide ribosomal RNA is filed under the name Arabidopsis thaliana (thale cress). Lineage: Eukaryota; Viridiplantae; Streptophyta; Magnoliopsida; Brassicales; Brassicaceae. The record is from RNAcentral.
AUAAUUACUGUUCAAGCAUUGUUUUCGAAUUUUUCCAUGCAUCAAAGCUCGUUAAGACUAGAUGGGGUAUCCCUACAUAGCGGGUGGGACCCACGGCGAAUGGUUCAUCAAGUCUUCAAAAAAGAAUAUAUACGAUUGCAUUGCAUAUACUAACGGAUGCGAUCAUACCAGCACUAAUGCACCGGAUCCCAUCAGAACUCCGCAGUUAAGCGUGCUUGGGCGAGAGUAGUACUAGGAUGGGUGACCUCCCGGGAAGUCCUCGUGUUGCAUCCCUCUUUUAUGUUUAACCUUUUUUUUUGGGUUAAAACUUUAUGACUCCAUAACUUCUAGACAG